This 253-nucleotide ribosomal RNA is filed under the name uncultured bacterium. Its description in RNAcentral is "partial 16S ribosomal RNA". It matches the Rfam family "Bacterial small subunit ribosomal RNA", at positions 524 to 776 of the family's 1533-position model. The record is from RNAcentral.
UACGUAGGGUGCGAGCGUUGCCCGGAUUUAUUGGGCGUAAAGAGCGCGCAGGCGGUCGUACAAGUCGCGUGUGAAAGCCCCCGGCUCAACUGGGGAGGGUCACGCGAUACUGUUCGACUCGAAGGCAGGAGAGGGAAGUGGAAUUCCCGGUGUAGUGGUGAAAUGCGUAGAUAUCGGGAGGAACACCAGUGGCGAAGGCGACUUCCUGGCCUGUUCUUGACGCUGAGGCGCGAAAGCUAGGGUAGCAAACGGG